GACGAACGCUGGCGGCGUGCUUAACACAUGCAAGUGGUGCGACGAACCAGGGCUUGCCCUGGGGCAAAGCCGCGAACGGGUGAGUAACACGUGGGUAACCUGCCCCGAUGACCGGGACAACCCGAGGAAACUCGGGCUAAUACCGGAUGUGGUGCACACACAUAAGUGUGUUCACUAAAGGAAGCUUCGGCCUCCGCAUUGGGAGGGGCCCGCGGCCCAUUAGCUUGUUGGUGGGGUCAUGGCCUACCAAGGCGACGAUGGGUAGCUGGUCUGAGAGGACGAUCAGCCACACUGGGACUGAGACACGGCCCAGACUCCUACGGGAGGCAGCAGUGGGGAAUCUUGCGCAAUGCGCGAAAGCGUGACGCAGCAACGCCGCGUGGGGGAAGACGGCUUUCGGGUUGUAAACCCCUUUCAGGAGGGACGAAGGCUCACCGGUGAAUAGCCGUGUGGGUUGACGGUACCUCCAGAAGAAGCUCCGGCUAACUACGUGCCAGCCGCCGCAGUAAUAC
This 512-nucleotide ribosomal RNA is filed under the name uncultured bacterium. RNAcentral's name for it is "bacterial SSU rRNA". It matches the Rfam family "Bacterial small subunit ribosomal RNA", at positions 28 to 526 of the family's 1533-position model. The record is from RNAcentral.